RNAcentral lists this ribosomal RNA (394 nucleotides) under uncultured bacterium. Its description in RNAcentral is "bacterial SSU rRNA". It matches the Rfam family "Bacterial small subunit ribosomal RNA", at positions 30 to 426 of the family's 1533-position model. The record is from RNAcentral.
AUUGAACGCUGGCGGCAUGCCUUACACAUGCAAGUCGAACGGCAGCACGGGGCAACCUGGUGGCGAGUGGCGAACGGGUGAGUAAUGCAUCGGAACGUGCCAUUGAGUGGGGGAUAACGUAGCGAAAGUUGCGCUAAUACCGCAUAUUCUGUGAGCAGGAAAGCAGGGGGACCGCAAGGCCUUGCGCUCUUUGAGCGGCCGAUGUCAGAUUAGCUAGUUGGUGAGGUAACGGCUUACCAAGGCGACGAUCUGUAGCGGGUCUGAGAGGAUGAUCCGCCACACUGGAACUGAGACACGGUCCAGACUCCUACGGGAGGCAGCAGUGGGGAAUUUUGGGACAAUGGGCGCAAGCCUGAUCCAGCCAUGCCGCGUGAGUGAAGAAGGCCUCGGUUGU